UUAACAAUCAACGUUACUCUUCGCGUUUGGUGAACGCAUACGUAUUAAUUUUUUUUCGAUAAUGUUAGAUGCGCGAACGAAAUAGGUUUUCGAAGAUCGAGUUACUUCACUAACAUGAUUUACAAUCAGAAGCGGACUCUGAGAAAAAUGACCCACGACAUUAUAGAAUAACCGACACGGAUGAACAAACAAUUGAAGUGCGAGACUGUACUCAUAAUAUCUACGGUUACCUUUGGAAUCUAUUCAUUUUUUUUUUCAGAAAAAUUUUGUAUUGUUAUUUUGUCAAUGUAUCAUUCUACGGUCUUAAUUGUUGCGAGUUCUCUCAAAAAUCCACCAGCAACGAGAGACGAUGUGUGAAUGAGCUGCGUGGCGUCCAUGAUCAUCUGCGCAACAGGAUAGCAGUUCGUGAUCGACUGAUGACAACACAUAAAUCGGGAGAUUAGGUUAAACCUAUGACACCGAAAUACAUAUUAAAUACGUUUUUCGUUGGACGGGAAGGUAUGCUCGAAUAUAGAUUUCCACCUUCCCCUCGGAAGUUGAAAAAGACGAUUUUCUCUUAUAAACUGUUACACAGUAAAUAGUAAUUAUUUCUGAUAACCUUUCAGCUGUAUAAAAUUCCAAAUGUCUAAUAUAAUAAAAACAUUUAUAGCUAUAAUUUGGAAUCAAAAAACCAUUAGACUUUUUGAUUGAGUAGUGUACAUCAAUAUAAUGUUAAAUUUUUAUUCAGAUCAUUUUUUCCACAUAGGAUUUGAACGAUAAAAUAUUACGAUUAUCGAAAAUUAAAUCCAUAAACAAUUUCCAUACAUUAUAUAAAUCAUAGAAGAUGUUCUUGUAACCAGAAAUUAUAGACUAGCUGUCAUAAUUGUUGUUAAGGAAUUGAAAAAAUUAAAUUCAUGUAAUUAAUGUAAAUAAUGUAAA
Molecule: long non-coding RNA, 918 nt
Filed under: Sipha flava (yellow sugarcane aphid)
Lineage: Eukaryota; Metazoa; Arthropoda; Insecta; Hemiptera; Aphididae
Description: uncharacterized LOC112689976, transcript variant X3
Source: RNAcentral